RNAcentral lists this ribosomal RNA (432 nucleotides) under uncultured bacterium. RNAcentral describes it as "partial 16S ribosomal RNA". It matches the Rfam family "Bacterial small subunit ribosomal RNA", at positions 29 to 506 of the family's 1533-position model. The record is from RNAcentral.
AAUGAACGCUGGCGGCAUGCCUAAUACAUGCAAGUCGAACGAGACCUCCGGGUCCUGUGGCGUCUGGCUGUGUCACGCGAGGGAACCUGCACUCAGGUUUGGCCUACCUCUCCGAAUGGGGUGACAUCACCGGACCAUAUCUUAUGCCCAAUGAUUUAUCGCCUCUGGUUGGGCCAGCGUUGGAUUAGCUAGUUGGUAGGGUAAUAGCUUACUCAGGCGACGAUCCAUUGCUGGUCUGAGAGGAUGAUCAGCCACACUGAGACUGGGACCCGGCCUAGACUCCUACGGGAGGCAGCAGUGGGGAAGAUGGGACGAUGGGCGAAAGCCUGAGCCAGCAGUGCCGCGAGAGUGAUUAAGGCGUUAGGAUUGUAAAGCUCUUUUACCCGGGAUGAUAAGGACAGAACCGGGAGAAUAAGCUCCGGCUAACACCGU